This 804-nucleotide ribosomal RNA is filed under the name Lyomyces pruni. RNAcentral's name for it is "partial small subunit ribosomal RNA". It matches the Rfam family "Bacterial small subunit ribosomal RNA", at positions 238 to 1072 of the family's 1533-position model. The record is from RNAcentral. Lineage: Eukaryota; Fungi; Basidiomycota; Agaricomycetes; Hymenochaetales; Schizoporaceae.
CAAUUAGGUAGUUGGCAGGGUAGAAGCCUCCCAAGCCGACGAUUGAUAGUCAAGUUUGAUAGAACAGAUGACCACAUUGGGAAUGAAAUCUCCCAAGUAGCGUAAAGCUACCAGCAGUCGAGAAUAUUAGUCAAUGCUCGCAAGAGUGAACUAGCUAACUGAAAUCAAUGAUGUGUCAUUGUUGAUAAAGUAAGGGAAAAGAAAUGAUACUACCUUACUAUUAGUGUCGUCCAAAGACUCGUGCCAGAAGACUCGGUAAGGCGAGAGACGCAAACGUUAGUCGUCCUAAUCAGGCGUAAAGGGUUUGUAGGCUGCUUUAAAAGUUUUAUUUUUCUAAAUAAAUAAUAGAACUAAUAUAAAUGAAUUAAAGCUAGAAUCAAAUAGAGGUAACAUAAAUAAUACUCAGUUUAAGGUUAACAUCUGCAAACACUGUGUGGAAUAUUAACGGCGAAGGCUUUUUACCAAUAAUGAUUGACGCUGAGAAACUAAGGUGAGAACAGAAAAAAGGAUUAGAGACCCUAGUAUCUCUCACUGUCAACGAUGAAUGGUAGUUACUAGAUACUAUUUAAAUAAUUUAGUCUAGAGACGAUGUUAACACGAAAACCAUUCCGCCUUGUGAAUACGACUGCAAAGUUGAAAACAAAAAAAUUAGUCGGUUUCGGAGCAAACGGAGUGAAGCAUGUUAUUUAAUACGAUACCCCGCGUAAAAUCUUACCAGUUCUUGCAUAAAACUUUAAUAUUAAUUAUAUUUUCUGAAGAAAUAGCUAUUAUUAUUUAUUAGUAAUAAGAGUAAAAGUCUUGAGA